AUUGAACGCUGGCGGCAUGCCUUACACAUGCAAGUCGAACGGCAGCACGGGUGCUUGCACCUGGUGGCGAGUGGCGAACGGGUGAGUAAUACAUCGGAACAUGUCCUGUAGUGGGGGAUAGCCCGGCGAAAGCCGGAUUAAUACCGCAUCCGAUCCACGGAUGAAAGCGGGGGCCCUUCGGCCCUCGCGCUAUAGGGUUGGCCGAUGGCUGAUUAGCUAGUUGGUGGGGUAAAGGCCUACCAAGGCGACGAUCAGUAGCUGGCCUGAGAGGACGACCAGCCACACUGGGACUGAGACACGGCCCAGACUCCUACGGGAGGCAGCAGUGGGGAAUUUUGGACAAUGGGCGAAAGCCUGAUCCAGCAAUGCCGCGUGUGUGAAGAAGGCCUUCGGGUUGUAAAGCACUUUUGUCCGGAAAGAAAUCCUUGGCCCUAAUACGGUCGGGGGAUGACGGUACCGGAAGAAUAAGCACCGGCUAACUACGUG
Molecule: ribosomal RNA, 486 nt
Filed under: uncultured bacterium
Lineage: Bacteria
Description: partial 16S ribosomal RNA
Rfam family: Bacterial small subunit ribosomal RNA
Source: RNAcentral